ACUCCUACGGGAGGCAGCAGUGGGGAAUUUUCCGCAAUGGGCGCAAGCCUGACGGAGCAAGACCGCGUGAGGGAGGAAGGCUCUUGGGUUGUAAACCUCUUUUAUCAGGGAAGAAGAUCUGACGGUACCUGAUGAAUCAGCAUCGGCUAACUCCGUGCCAGCAGCCGCGGUAAUACGGAGGAUGCAAGCGUUAUCCGGAUUUAUUGGGCGUAAAGCGUCCGCAGGUGGUUUUUCAAGUCUGCUGUUAAAGCGCAGAGCUUAACUCUGUAACGGCGGUGGAAACUGAGAGACUAGAGUAUGGUAGGGGUUGCGGGAAUUCCCAGUGUAGCGGUGAAAUGCGUAGAUAUUGGGAAGAACACCAGCGGCGAAAGCGCGCAACUGGGCCAUUACUGACACUCAUGGACGAAAGCUAGGGGAGCGAAAGGGAUUAGAUACCCCUGUAGUCCUAGCUGUAAACGAUGGGUACUAGGUGUUGACCGUAUCGACCCGGUCAGUGCCGUAGCUAACGCGUUAAGUACCCCGCCUGGGGAGUAUGCACGCAAGUGUGAAACUCAAAGGAAUUGACGGGGGCCCGCACAAGCGGUGGA
Molecule: ribosomal RNA, 587 nt
Filed under: uncultured bacterium
Lineage: Bacteria
Description: bacterial SSU rRNA
Rfam family: Bacterial small subunit ribosomal RNA
Source: RNAcentral